RNAcentral lists this long non-coding RNA (264 nucleotides) under Cricetulus griseus (Chinese hamster). Its description in RNAcentral is "lncRNA (ENSCGRG00000025112.1)". The record is from RNAcentral. Lineage: Eukaryota; Metazoa; Chordata; Mammalia; Rodentia; Cricetidae.
UGAAUUGUUUUAUUUGUGUGUAGGGCAUUUUCAGUCACAAUUUUCUCAUUAUUAGGCAAAGGAAGUCCCACUGUGUCAGUGUCUACUCAAGGAGAAGGCAGCACACCCAGGGGACAAGACACUGCAGCUGUAAGCCCAGGAACCUCAGGUUCAACGGGGGCAUCUGCGGGAACCAGCUCAGGAGCAGGCAAGAGAAGCUCACCUGAAACACCAGGCUCUGGGACCACAAGCUCUGUUAUAUCAACAGGUUAGACAGCGCAUCUU